Non-coding RNA from Prunus avium (sweet cherry), 905 nucleotides. The record is from RefSeq and is a predicted model, not a curated record. NCBI's taxonomy places the organism in Eukaryota, Viridiplantae, Streptophyta, Magnoliopsida, Rosales, Rosaceae.
UUCUAUACGGGGCUGAUCUGCUGGCAAAAGGUAUGAAUUGGAGAAUUGGUAAGGGGGACCAAAGUGAAGUUUUGGAAAAAACACAAAGGGGGAAAAGCCUAGAGGAAAAAACACAAAGGCAUCAGCCGGGGCUUAUCAGCCCCCAGCAAAUCAUCAUUCAAACAAGGUGGUGAUAAUUCUGAGCACAAAUAUCGCUAACAGAGCAAAAAUCACCAACAAAAAACCAAAAACCCUCCCAAUUAAAAAAAUCAUCAAAACCAUGGCUGGUUCUGGUUCUCCCUGUGGAGCCUGUUGAGAAGAAAAUGUGUGAGAGGCUGUAUUUUUGCGCCUUAUUUCUGCCAUGAACAGGGAGCUACCGAUUUUUCUGCCUUCCACAAGGUUUUUGGAAAACCUAACCCUACUUUCUUAACUCAGCCGCCACUCCCAUCUUUCCUUCAUCUCUCUUUUUUCACUUAUCCUUUUUUCUUCUUCUUCUUUCCUCUCUAACCCAUCCUUUCUUCUUUAUUCAAGCCUUCUUUCUCCAAAUCAGAUCAGAUCCACUCUACUGCCCAAAUCUGCCGACUCCACCUCCUUUCAUCUUUUUUUUUUGGUGGGUAUGGGUUCUCGGCGACUGGGAGAUGCUUGCUGCGACGGUGGUCACGAUUUUAAUGCUCCAAGUAUUACAAAACCGAGGCAUUAGAGGCCAAGCAAUCUUGAGUCCCUCGUCUCUCCCUCCCAUCCUCUGCAUCUCUCAGUCUCCGUCUCUUCCUCCCUCUCAGGUCGUAGACAACCCCUCAACCACUGAGUUGGCGAAUUCCUCCUUCACCACUUCUUCAUCUACUGCGUCUAUGUUAGGUUAAGGUAUGACAACUAGUUUCUCUGUUUUUUUUUAAUUUUUUUUUUUUGCGUUGUGAGUUUUGUAACAU